UACGAAGGGGGCUAGCGUUGCUCGGAAUCACUGGGCGUAAAGCGCACGUAGGCGGCUUGUUAAGUCAGGGGUGAAAUCCUGGAGCUCAACUCCAGAACUGCCUUUGAAACUACAUCGCUAGAAUCAUGGAGAGGUUAGUGGAAUUCCGAGUGUAGAGGUGAAAUUCGUAGAUAUUCGGAAGAACACCAGUGGCGAAGGCGACUAACUGGACAUGUAUUGACGCUGAGGUGCGAAAGCGUGGGGAGCAAACAGG
RNAcentral lists this ribosomal RNA (253 nucleotides) under uncultured bacterium. RNAcentral describes it as "partial 16S ribosomal RNA". It matches the Rfam family "Bacterial small subunit ribosomal RNA", at positions 524 to 776 of the family's 1533-position model. The record is from RNAcentral.